GUGCUCGCUUCAGCAGCACAUAUACUAAAAUUGUAACGAUACAGACAAGGUUAGCAUGGCCCCUGUGUGAGGAUGACAUGCAAAUUCGUGAACCAUUCCAUAUUUUU
This 107-nucleotide small nuclear RNA is filed under the name Phocoena sinus (vaquita). The record is from RNAcentral. Lineage: Eukaryota; Metazoa; Chordata; Mammalia; Artiodactyla; Phocoenidae.